GGAUUAGAUACCCUGGUAGUCCACGCAGUAAACGUUGUUCACUAGGUGUAGCGGGUAUUGACCCCUGCUGUGCCGCAGUUAACGCAUUAAGUGAACCGCCUGGGGAGUACGAUCGCAAGAUUAAAACUCAAAGAAAUUGACGGGGGCCCGCACAAGCGGUGGAGCAUGUGGUUUAAUUCGACGCAACGCGAAGAACCUUACCUGGAUUUGACAUCCUGAGAAUUCUUUUGAAAAUAAGAAGUGCCCUUCGGGGAACUCAGUGACAGGUGCUGCAUGGCUGUCGUCAGCUCGUGCCG
RNAcentral lists this ribosomal RNA (296 nucleotides) under uncultured bacterium. Its description in RNAcentral is "partial 16S ribosomal RNA". It matches the Rfam family "Bacterial small subunit ribosomal RNA", at positions 775 to 1067 of the family's 1533-position model. The record is from RNAcentral.